This is a long non-coding RNA of Daktulosphaira vitifoliae (grape phylloxera), 545 nucleotides long. RefSeq lists it as uncharacterized. NCBI's taxonomy places the organism in Eukaryota, Metazoa, Arthropoda, Insecta, Hemiptera, Phylloxeridae. The transcript is spliced from 3 exons. The record is from RefSeq and is a predicted model, not a curated record.
GUUUUUUGAACUUACAUUAACUGAAUGAAAAUGUCUUCAGUCUGUAUUUAUUACAUGAGAGGAACUUGUCGAUUUGGUGACCGAUGUUGGAAUUCUCAUGAUCUCGACUCUGCACGGUCUGAAAGAGAAAGCCCACGUUCUGAAUAACAUUGAUGGAAUUUUAACCGGAUCAUCCAUUAGUAUUUUCAGUUUUCAUAAUUUGUGGUCUACUGUUUACCAAUUGAAUAGAAUAAAACUGGGAAAUUUUUUUUGUUAAACAAAUAAUGUAUAAUCGUCGAAUAAAGUGAGCUAUAAAUAAACAAAUUUUGGUUCACACAAUGAAGAGGUGCGGCCUUGAAAGUAUGUAGUUGACGUACAACAAAUCAUAUCCUAAACUUGGGUAAAUAAAAAUAACUGUUUAGUAUUUGUUGAAAUACUCCAAUGUUAUAAUAACACAUAUCAAAAUAAAAAAGUUCAAAUUAAUAACAUAAAUCGAGUGUACUUAAAUCUCAAUAAAACGUUCUUGUUUAUUUAACUUUUCUUGUAAGUUUCAAUAUUAAUGUUAA